This is a long non-coding RNA of Alligator sinensis (Chinese alligator), 244 nucleotides long. RefSeq lists it as uncharacterized. NCBI's taxonomy places the organism in Eukaryota, Metazoa, Chordata, Crocodylia, Alligatoridae. The record is from RefSeq and is a predicted model, not a curated record. The transcript is spliced from 2 exons.
AGCAGCCCAAGAGGAAAGAGCUUUGUCUUGGAAGAGAGGGGAGGUCUGACUGCAGGAGCAGCAUUUGGCACUGCUGAGGGAUGGAGUAAUUCCCGGGCUGGGAGACACUUAUACAGCUCUUCAUAAAGAGAAGAACACAGAUAUGUACAGAAAACCAACUCGGAAUGAGUGCUCAGUGCAGUCCUGUGGCAAGGAGGACUAACAUGAUCCUAGGAUGCACAAAACAUGAAAAUAUCAAGUAAAA